Molecule: ribosomal RNA, 439 nt
Filed under: uncultured bacterium
Lineage: Bacteria
Description: partial 16S ribosomal RNA
Rfam family: Bacterial small subunit ribosomal RNA
Source: RNAcentral
CUACGGGUCGCUCCAGUGGGGAAUAUUGCACAAUGGAGGAAACUCUGAUGCAGCAACGCCGCGUGGAGGAUGACACUUUUCGGAGCGUAAACUCCUUUUAUAUAUGAAGAUAAUGACGGUAAUAUAUGAAUAAGCACCGGCUAACUCCGUGCCAGCAGCCGCGGUAAUACGGGGGGUGCAAGCGUUACUCGGAAUCACUGGGCGUAAAGCGCAUGUAGGCGGGCAAAUAAGUUGGAAGUGAAAUCCUAUGGCUUAACCAUAGAACUGCUUCCAAAACUGUUUGCCUAGAAUGUGGGAGAGGUAGAUGGAAUUUCUGGUGUAGGGGUAAAAUCCGUAGAGAUCAGAAGGAAUACCGAUUGCGAAGGCGAUCUACUAGAACACUAUUGACGCUGAGAUGCGAAAGCGUGGGGAGCAAACAGGAUUAGAUACCCGAGUAGUC